RNAcentral lists this ribosomal RNA (713 nucleotides) under uncultured Actinomycetes bacterium. RNAcentral describes it as "bacterial SSU rRNA". It matches the Rfam family "Bacterial small subunit ribosomal RNA", at positions 723 to 1439 of the family's 1533-position model. The record is from RNAcentral. Lineage: Bacteria; Bacillati; Actinomycetota; Actinomycetes.
AGGUCUCUGGGCCAAUACUGACACUGAGGAGCGAAAGCGUGGGGAGCGAACAGGAUUAGAUACCCUGGUAGUCCACGCCGUAAACGGUGGGCGCUAGUUGUGCGAACCUUCCACGGUUUGUGCGACGCAGCUAACGCAUUAAGCGCCCCGCCUGGGGAGUACGAUCGCAAGAUUAAAACUCAAAGGAAUUGACGGGGCCCCGCACAAGCAGCGGAGCAUGCGGCUUAAUUCGACGCAACGCGAAGAACCUUACCAAGGCUUGACAUAUACAGGAAUACGGCAGAGAUGUCGUAGCCGCAAGGUCUGUAUACAGGUGGUGCAUGGUUGUCGUCAGCUCGUGUCGUGAGAUGUUGGGUUAAGUCCCGCAACGAGCGCAACCCUCGUUCUGUGUUGCCAGCAUUUAGUUGGGGACUCACAGGAGACUGCCGGGGUUAACUCGGAGGAAGGUGGGGAUGACGUCAAAUCAUCAUGCCCCUUAUGUCUUGGGCUGCACGCAUGCUACAAUGGCUGGUACAAACGGCUGCAAUACCGCAAGGUGGAGCGAAUCCGAGAAAGCCAGUCUCAGUUCGGAUUGGGGUCUGCAACUCGACCCCAUGAAGUCGGAGUUGCUAGUAAUCGUAGAUCAGCAACGCUACGGUGAAUACGUUCCCGGGGCUUGUACACACCGCCCGUCACAUCACGAAAGUCGGUAACACCCAAAGUCAGUGCCCAAC